AGGGCGAACGCUGGCGGCAGGCCUAACACAUGCAAGUCGAGCGCCCGUAGCAAUACGGGAGCGGCAGACGGGAUAGUAACACGUGGGAACGCGCCCUUCGGUUCGGAAUAACUCAGGGAAACUUGAGCUAAUACCGGAUACGCCCUUACGGGGAAAGAUUUAUUGCCGAAGGAACGGCCCGCGUCCGAUUAGCUAGUUGGUGAGGUAAUGGCUCACCAAGGCGACGAUCGGUAGCUGGUCUGAGAGGAUGACCAGCAUCACUGGGACUGAGACACGGCCCAGACUCCUACGGGAGGCAGCAGUGGGGAAUAUUGGACAAUGGGCGCAAGCCUGAUCCAGCCAUGCCGCGUGGAUGAUGAAGGCCUUAGGGUUGUAAAGUCCUUUUAACGGGGAAGAUAAUGACGGUACCCGUAGAAUAAGCCCCGGCUAACUUCGUGCCAGCAGCCGC
RNAcentral lists this ribosomal RNA (448 nucleotides) under uncultured bacterium. RNAcentral's name for it is "SSU rRNA". It matches the Rfam family "Bacterial small subunit ribosomal RNA", at positions 26 to 518 of the family's 1533-position model. The record is from RNAcentral.